Molecule: ribosomal RNA, 591 nt
Filed under: Hanseniaspora uvarum
Lineage: Eukaryota; Fungi; Ascomycota; Saccharomycetes; Saccharomycodales; Saccharomycodaceae
Description: partial large subunit ribosomal RNA
Rfam family: Eukaryotic large subunit ribosomal RNA
Source: RNAcentral
UGGUUUCCUUUUUUCAGACGGGGGGUCAUGUAACCAAUUUGGGAUUCCUCUAGUAACGGGGAGUGAAGCGGUAAAAGCUCAAAUUUGAAAUCUGGUACUUUCAGCGCCCGAGAAGUAAUUACUUGAAUAUGUCUUUGUUUAGGUCCUUGAAUAUGUUCCUUGGAACAGGACGUCAUAGAGGGUGCGAAUCCCGUUUGGCGAGGAUACCUUUUAAAACUCCAUGUUUUAUCAAAUGCCGAUUUGUUUGGGAAAUUUCACAAAGAUGUCAGUAAAUUCCCUCUAAAGCUAAAAUAUUUCCAUCACCGUAUUUGUUACAAAUUGCUCUGUCGCCAAUAUUUAGAGAUCUAUGGAAAGAGAGUGAAAAAGUAAGUGAAAUUGUUGAAAGGGAAGGGCAUUUGAUCAAACAUGGUGAUUUUAAGCAUCCACUCGCCUCUCUUGGCUUUGGCUUCUCCAAAAAUUCACUGGGCCAACAUCAAUUCGGGCAGCAGGAUAAAUCAUUAAGAAUGUAGCUACUUCGGUAGUGUUAUAGCUUUUUGGAAUACUGUUAGCCGGGAUUGAGGACUGCGCUCGGCAAGGAUAAGCAUAGAACGU